GUCGCGAGAUUUGGAGCUCGCGGGAAAACUUGUUUGCGCGUCCGGAGCGGAGGGCGAGCGCGCGGGGAGUUCGAGUGUCGGACCCCGGGAACUCGGGCUGGCAUGAGCCUCUGGGUGGACAAAUACCGGCCCUGCUCCUUGGGACAGCUGGACUAUCACAAGGAGCAGGCGGCCCAGCUGCGCAACCUGGUGCAGUGUGGUGACUUUCCUCAUCUGUUAGUCUAUGGACCAUCAGGUGCUGGAAAAAAGACAAGAAUUAUGUGUAUUCUACGUGAACUUUAUGGUGUGGGAGUGGAAAAAUUGAGAAUUGAACAUCAGACCAUCACAACUCCAUCUAAAAAGAAAAUUGAAAUUAGCACUAUUGCAAGCAAUUACCACCUUGAAGUUAAUCCCAGUGAUGCUGGAAAUAGUGACCGGGUAGUAAUUCAGGAGAUGUUGAAAACAGUGGCACAAUCACAGCAACUUGAAACAAACUCUCAAAAAGAUUUUAAAGUCGUGUUAUUGACAGAAGUUGACAAACUCACUAAAGAUGCUCAGCAUGCCUUGCGCAGAACCAUGGAAAAGUAUAUGUCCACCUGCAGGUUGAUCUUGUGUUGCAAUUCUACAUCAAAAGUGAUACCGCCUAUUCGUAGUAGGUGCCUUGCAGUUCGUGUGCCUGCUCCCAGCAUUGAAGAUAUUUGCCAUGUGUUAUCUACUGUGUGCAAGAAGGAAGGUCUAAAUCUUCCUUCACAACUGGCUCAUAGACUUGCAGAGAAGUCCUGCAGAAAUCUCAGAAAAGCCCUGCUUAUGUGUGAAGCCUGCAGAGUGCAACAAUAUCCUUUCACUGCAGAUCAAGAAAUCCCUGAAACAGAUUGGGAGGUGUAUCUGAGGGAGACUGCCAAUGCUAUUGUCAGUCAGCAGACUCCACAGAGGCUCCUUGAAGUUCGUGGGAGACUCUAUGAGCUUCUAACUCAUUGUAUUCCUCCUGAAAUAAUAAUGAAGGGCCUUCUAUCAGAACUUUUACAUAAUUGUGAUGGACAACUGAAAGGGGAAGUGGCCCAGAUGGCAGCUUACUAUGAACAUCGUCUACAGCUGGGUAGCAAAGCCAUUUAUCACUUGGAAGCAUUUGUGGCCAAAUUUAUGGCACUUUAUAAGAAGUUCAUGGAGGAUGGAUUGGAAGGCAUGAUAUUCUGACAUCUCUCAGUAAUUCUUCCUAAUAUUUCUCAGUAUCAGCAUUUACAUUCAAUUUAUAUUGGAAGAGCUACAGAUUCUUGUGGGGACGACUUUUAAGCUGCCUGCCACUAGACCCAGGAGGAAACUCAAAAGAGCAGAGACGUGUAGCUUGUGAUCUUAUGAAGGUGGCCUCAUGAAAGGUCUCCCAAGGCAGACAGCUACAACUCUUGCUGACCAUAGGCUUUGAUGGAAGAAAUUUUCACAUACUGAGAUGGCAGCUGGAGAUGCAGACAUCACGGUCAUAUUCUAGGAUGGCAGCAGGACAAAGGAAACUUUAAAGAAGAUUUCCUAGAGAUAAAUAUGAAACCUCAGAUAGAGAAGAAUUGGUGAAAAGCAUUUCAGGUGGUUAGAAUAAGUUGCCAUAGUCCAGACAUGGAGGCAAGGAUGCUGGAAUAAUUCUGUAGAAGCAAUCCAACUUGUGCUUAGGAGCCCAUGGCCUGGAGGUGAUCGGGGGAGAAGAGUCUGGAAAGGUACACCAGAUCACG
This is an RNA transcript of Balaenoptera musculus (blue whale), 1697 nucleotides long. It is a transcript of the gene named replication factor C subunit 3, with no coding region annotated. NCBI's taxonomy places the organism in Eukaryota, Metazoa, Chordata, Mammalia, Artiodactyla, Balaenopteridae. The record is from RefSeq and is a predicted model, not a curated record. The transcript is spliced from 12 exons.